CACGUAGUUAGCCGUGGCUUUCUGGUUAGAUACCGUCAAGGGAUGAACAUUUUACUCUCAUCCUUGUUCUUCUCUAACAACAGAGUUUUACGAUCCGAAAACCUUCUUCACUCACGCGGCGUUGCUCGGUCAGACUUUCGUCCAUUGCCGAAGAUUCCCCUACUGCUGCCUCCCGUAGGAGUCUGGGCCGUGUCUCAGUCCCAGUGUGGCCGAUCACCCUCUCAGGUCGGCUAUGCAUCGUGGCCUUGGUGAGCCGUUACCUCACCAACUAGCUAAUGCACCGCGGGUCCAUCCAUCAGUGACGACAAAGCGCCUUUCAGCUUCCUCUCAUGCGAAGAAAAGCAUUAUACGGUAUUAGCACCUGUUACCAAGUUGUUACUCCCUUCUGAUGGGCUACGGUUACCCUAGUUGUUACUCCUACCCGUUCGCCUACUCCUUCUUUUCGAGUUCGAACCGUAGUU
Molecule: ribosomal RNA, 461 nt
Filed under: uncultured Enterococcus sp.
Lineage: Bacteria; Bacillati; Bacillota; Bacilli; Lactobacillales; Enterococcaceae
Description: partial 16S ribosomal RNA
Source: RNAcentral